Molecule: transfer RNA, 73 nt
Filed under: Alosa alosa (allis shad)
Lineage: Eukaryota; Metazoa; Chordata; Actinopteri; Clupeiformes; Clupeidae
Description: tRNA-OTHER
Source: RNAcentral
GCAGUCGUGGCCUACUGGUUAGGGCUUCAGUCUUGUAACCGGAGGGUUGCCGGUUCGAUCCCCGACCAGUAUG